RNAcentral lists this ribosomal RNA (254 nucleotides) under uncultured bacterium. Its description in RNAcentral is "partial 16S ribosomal RNA". It matches the Rfam family "Bacterial small subunit ribosomal RNA", at positions 524 to 776 of the family's 1533-position model. The record is from RNAcentral.
UACGGGGGGGGGCAAGCGUUGUUCGGAAUUACUGGGCGUAAAGGGCUCGUAGGUGGCCAACUAAGUCAGACGUGAAAUCCCUCAGCUUAACUGGGGAACUGCGUCUGAUACUGGAUGGCUUGAGUUUGGGAGAGGGAUGCGGAAUUCCAGGUGUAGCGGUGAAAUGCGUAGAUAUCUGGAGGAACACCGGUGGCGAAGGCGGCAUCCUGGACCGACACUGACGCUGAGGAGCGAAAGCCAGGGGAGCAAACGGG